This 635-nucleotide ribosomal RNA is filed under the name Citricoccus parietis. RNAcentral's name for it is "bacterial SSU rRNA". It matches the Rfam family "Bacterial small subunit ribosomal RNA", at positions 61 to 707 of the family's 1533-position model. Lineage: Bacteria; Bacillati; Actinomycetota; Actinomycetes; Micrococcales; Micrococcaceae. The record is from RNAcentral.
GUCGAACGCUGAAGCUCCAGCUUGCUGGGGUGGAUGAGUGGCGAACGGGUGAGUAACACGUGAGUAACCUUCCCUUGACUCUGGGAUAAGCCCGGGAAACUGGGUCUAAUACCGGAUAUGACUUCUCAUCGCAUGGUGGGGGGUGGAAAGAUUUAUCGGUCUUGGAUGGACUCGCGGCCUAUCAGCUUGUUGGUGAGGUAAUGGCUCACCAAGGCGACGACGGGUAGCCGGCCUGAGAGGGUGACCGGCCACACUGGGACUGAGACACGGCCCAGACUCCUACGGGAGGCAGCAGUGGGGAAUAUUGCACAAUGGGCGCAAGCCUGAUGCAGCGACGCCGCGUGAGGGAUGACGGCCUUCGGGUUGUAAACCUCUUUCAGUAGGGAAGAAGCGAAAGUGACGGUACCUGCAGAAGAAGCGCCGGCUAACUACGUGCCAGCAGCCGCGGUAAUACGUAGGGCGCGAGCGUUAUCCGGAAUUAUUGGGCGUAAAGAGCUCGUAGGCGGUUUGUCGCGUCUGCCGUGAAAGUCCGGGGCUUAACCCCGGAUCUGCGGUGGGUACGGGCAGACUAGAGUGCAGUAGGGGAGACCGGAAUUCCUGGUGUAGCGGUGAAAUGCGCAGAUAUCAGGAGGAAC